This 241-nucleotide ribosomal RNA is filed under the name Pneumocystis murina. Its description in RNAcentral is "partial large subunit ribosomal RNA". It matches the Rfam family "Bacterial large subunit ribosomal RNA", at positions 834 to 1050 of the family's 2925-position model. Lineage: Eukaryota; Fungi; Ascomycota; Pneumocystomycetes; Pneumocystales; Pneumocystaceae. The record is from RNAcentral.
CGGACUAGGAUAUAGCUGGUUUUCUGCGAAAUCUAUUUUAGUAGAUGAUUUAUUGUUUUUAUUAGUGGGUAUAGCACUGAAUAUCUCGUAAUUUCAAUUAUUAGAAGGGAGUAUGAGAGUACUUACUUUAGAUAUUUAAUCUCAGAAUAACUAAUAAGAAGAUAAGAUAAGUUCUCAGACUUUUUGCGAUAAGGUGAAAAGUCAAAAGGGAAACAGCCCAGAAUAAUGUAUAAAGUUCCAA